Molecule: ribosomal RNA, 440 nt
Filed under: uncultured bacterium
Lineage: Bacteria
Description: partial 16S ribosomal RNA
Rfam family: Bacterial small subunit ribosomal RNA
Source: RNAcentral
GCUACGGGAGGCAGCAGUGGGGAAUAUUGCACAAUGGGGGGAACCCUGAUGCAGCGACGCCGCGUGAGUGAAGAAGUAUUUCGGUAUGUAAAGCUCUAUCAGCAGGGAAGAAAAUGACGGUACCUGACUAAGAAGCCCCGGCGAACUACGUGCCAGCAGCCGCGGUAAUAUGUAGGGGGCAAGCGUUAUCCGGAUUUACUGGGUGUAAAGGGAGCGCAGACGGCUGUGCAAGUCUGGAGUGAAAUGCCGGGGCCCAACCCCGGAACUGCGCUGGAAACUGAGAAGCUGGAGUGCAGGCGAGGUAAGCGGAAUUCCUGGUGUAGCGGUGAAAUGCGUAGAUAUCAGGAGGAACACCGGCGGCGAAGGCGGCUUACUGGACUGUAACUGACGUUGAGGCUCGAAGGCGUGGGGAGCAAACAGGAUUAGAUACCCGAGUAGUC